UCCUUGCAGAUUCUGAUGAUUUCAAAAAUCUCAUUCAGCUUCAUCAAGAGGUUGCCAUAAAGUUCAUAUCAAAGGU
Molecule: small RNA, 76 nt
Filed under: Salix viminalis (osier)
Lineage: Eukaryota; Viridiplantae; Streptophyta; Magnoliopsida; Malpighiales; Salicaceae
Source: RNAcentral